GGCCCUAUCGUCUAGAGGCCUAGGACGGAGCCCUCUCAAGGCUCAAACUCGGGUUCGAAUCCCGAUAGGGUCAC
This 74-nucleotide transfer RNA is filed under the name Gemmata obscuriglobus. RNAcentral describes it as "tRNA-Glu". It matches the Rfam family "tRNA". From Rfam's summary of the family: Transfer RNA (tRNA) molecules are approximately 80 nucleotides in length. Their secondary structure includes four short double-helical elements and three loops (D, anti-codon, and T loops). Lineage: Bacteria; Pseudomonadati; Planctomycetota; Planctomycetia; Gemmatales; Gemmataceae. The record is from RNAcentral.